RNAcentral lists this small RNA (183 nucleotides) under Arabidopsis thaliana (thale cress). Its description in RNAcentral is "ATSL090740". Lineage: Eukaryota; Viridiplantae; Streptophyta; Magnoliopsida; Brassicales; Brassicaceae. The record is from RNAcentral.
UUCAAAAUUGUUUUUGGUUUUUCUAUGCAUUAGAUGAAUGCAGACUCAAGAAUAUAAACAAUGCAACACACACUUCCUGAGCUCUCCCCCAAACUUAAAUCACAUAGUCCACUGUGUGAAUAAACUUGGAAGAGAGUACUCAGGACAAAUCCAAUCACAGAAACAAAAUAAAGAACAAAUCAU